This 250-nucleotide ribosomal RNA is filed under the name uncultured bacterium. RNAcentral describes it as "partial 16S ribosomal RNA". It matches the Rfam family "Bacterial small subunit ribosomal RNA", at positions 524 to 773 of the family's 1533-position model. The record is from RNAcentral.
UACGGAGGGUGCAAGCGUUAUCCGGAUUCACUGGGUUUAAAGGGUGCGUAGGUGGGCUAGUAAGUCAGUGGUGAAAUCCCCGAGCUUAACUUGGGAACUGCCGUUGAUACUAUUAGUCUUGAAUAUCGUGGAGGUAAGCGGAAUAUGUCAUGUAGCGGUGAAAUGCUUAGAUAUGACAUAGAACACCAAUUGCGAAGGCAGCUUGCUACACGGUCAUUGACACUGAGGCACGAAAGCGUGGGGAUCAAAC